UACGUAGGGGGCAAGCGUUGUCCGGAUUUAUUGGGCGUAAAGAGCUCGUAGGUGGUUCGGUAAGUCGGAUGUGAAAUCCCCAGGCUCAACCUGGGAACUGCGUCUGAUACUGGAUGGCUUGAAUCCGGGAGAGGGAUGCAGAAUUCCAGGUGUAGCGGUGAAAUGCGUAGAUAUCUGGAGGAAUACCGGUGGCGAAGGCGGCAUCCUGGACCGGCAUUGACGCUGAGGAGCGAAAGCCAGGGGAGCAAACGGG
RNAcentral lists this ribosomal RNA (253 nucleotides) under uncultured bacterium. Its description in RNAcentral is "partial 16S ribosomal RNA". It matches the Rfam family "Bacterial small subunit ribosomal RNA", at positions 524 to 776 of the family's 1533-position model. The record is from RNAcentral.